AUGCCUUAACUGCAUGAGUAAGGAAAAUAACGAUUUGGGGUGAUGCCUGAAUCCUAACUGCUAGUGUGAGAUGAACUUUUGAGUGAGUAAAGUUGCCCUUCAGGUGACCUGCCUACUUUGUGGGAUGCCUCGGAGUGGCGAUCUGCCCA
Small nuclear RNA from Ailuropoda melanoleuca (giant panda), 149 nucleotides. Its record names the gene U12. It matches the Rfam family "U12 minor spliceosomal RNA". Rfam says of the family: Although the U12 sequence is very divergent from that of U2, the two are functionally analogous. NCBI's taxonomy places the organism in Eukaryota, Metazoa, Chordata, Mammalia, Carnivora, Ursidae. The record is from Ensembl.